Punica granatum (pomegranate) is the source of this 622-nucleotide non-coding RNA. The record is from RefSeq and is a predicted model, not a curated record. Lineage: Eukaryota; Viridiplantae; Streptophyta; Magnoliopsida; Myrtales; Lythraceae.
UUGUCCGUACUUUGGAGGAAGACUUGCAGAGAACUAGGAAUGAACUUGCUAUGCUCAAGGCGAAGCAGAAGGAAGACGAGAAGGAUAGGAAUUCUUCAUGGACAAGCUUUCUGCAAGAUCAGCUGCUCUUGGUGAUAAGGAACUCGAGGAACUAAAGAUUCAGGAGCAGAGAGGGAAAGCUCCUACAGAGAUGGACAGAGCAAGUUUUAUCAGUUUUAUUCAGAGUUUUACCAGUCUAAGAAGAAGUUGAUUGAGGAGAGAAUGGACUUCGUAGAGAAACUUGCUCGGAGAAAGUAUGACUUGAGCUCAGAUAAAGAUGUGCACGAGGAGUUAAUAAAUAAAAUGGACAUUGGAGAAUUCGUCUAGGAGAGUGAGUUCAGGCAUUGGAGAAUACAGUCUUCUUAUUCAAAGCUACGACAUCGUUACGAGAUAAGCUGAAAGAUAGCACUGGAAAGCCCCUGGCAGAUCAACUACAGAAGAAAACCGAAUAUAUAGGAGCCCUUCAUGAGGAGAAUGAGAAACAUAAGCAGGUCGAGCUUUUUCCCUUUCCAAUAUUUUAACUACAUUUUUCGUUUAAGUCGUGUUCAAGCUAAAAAGUAGUUUUCUUUAGGCUGGUAAUGAC